GGGGGCGACCUGGAUUCGACGCGGGUCGCGAAACCUGAGGUGCAUGCCGAGGAUGUAGUGAGCCUCGUAAAAAUCACUGCAAAAAAAUAGUUGCCAACGACGACAACUACGCACUCGCCGCUUAAAACCCGGUAGGGUGCCGUCCGACUGGAGCCGUGCUUGUGCGUCCAGUAUCGGGCGUCGACUCUCACAAGCUCGCGGUGAAGCGUGCCCGGCGCGGAUCCGUUAAAACUCAACCGGGAUCGCCAGACGUCUUCCCUGCCUGUCGGGUAGCGGCUGGUUAAACGCAAAGACAGGAUAAGCAUGUAGAGCCGAGGGCGGAGGGCCUGCGGACGCGGGUUCGAUUCCCGCCGCCUCCACCA
RNAcentral lists this transfer-messenger RNA (362 nucleotides) under Thioalkalivibrio halophilus. RNAcentral describes it as "Standard tmRNA". It matches the Rfam family "transfer-messenger RNA". Rfam says of the family: Bacterial tmRNA, also known as 10Sa RNA or SsrA, is named for its dual tRNA and mRNA-like properties. Its role is to liberate the mRNA from a stalled ribosome. To accomplish this part of the tmRNA is used as a reading frame that ends in a translation stop signal. Lineage: Bacteria; Pseudomonadati; Pseudomonadota; Gammaproteobacteria; Chromatiales; Ectothiorhodospiraceae. The record is from RNAcentral. RNAcentral also lists the same sequence under 1 other name.